AUACGAAGGGUCCAAGCGUUACGCGGAAUCACUAUGGGCUUAAAGGGUGCGUAGGCGGACCCGUAAGUGUCUUGUGAAAGACCUCGGCUCAACCGAGGCAAGUCUUGGCAUACUACGGAUCUUGAGGUCGGCAGAGGUUGCCGGAACUCUAGGUGUAGCGGUGAAAUGCGUAGAUAUCUAGAGGAACGCCCAAGGCGAAGGCAGGCAACUGGGCCGAUUCUGACGCUGAGGCACGAAAGCGUGGGUAGCGAACGGGAUUAGAAACCCCAGUAGUCC
This 276-nucleotide ribosomal RNA is filed under the name uncultured bacterium. Its description in RNAcentral is "partial 16S ribosomal RNA". It matches the Rfam family "Bacterial small subunit ribosomal RNA", at positions 523 to 796 of the family's 1533-position model. The record is from RNAcentral.